RNAcentral lists this ribosomal RNA (254 nucleotides) under uncultured bacterium. RNAcentral's name for it is "partial 16S ribosomal RNA". It matches the Rfam family "Bacterial small subunit ribosomal RNA", at positions 524 to 776 of the family's 1533-position model. The record is from RNAcentral.
UACGUAGGGGCCUAGCGUUGUCCGGAUUUAUUGGGCGUAAAGAGCUCGUAGGCGGUUCGGCAAGUCGGAUGUGAAAUCUCCACGCUCAACGUGGAGGGGCCAUUCGAAACUGCCGUGACUCGAGUCCGGUAGGGGAGUGUGGAAUUCCCGGUGUAGCGGUGAAAUGCGCAGAUAUCAGGAGGAACACCGAUGGCGAAGGCAGGUCUCUGGGCAUUAACUGACGCUGAGGAGCGAAAGCAUGGGGAGCGAACAGG